GCAUCUCAAAGAAUUUCUCAGUUGCUUUUCUGUCAUCCCUGAGUCCAAAUUACAACUGUCAAUUAUACAUGAAAGGUCUUGGCCCUUGGCAUAUGAGAGUACUGAUCAUCAAAUAUUACAUCCCACUCAAAAUGCUGUCUUGAGAAAUUGUUACGGGCGAGUUGCAUUACAGAAUGUGGCUUAAGUGAUGGUCAUAAAUAGCAGCAGAGACAGGUUGGGGCAGAUAUUCCACUGAUACAAACUCUUAGAUCCCUGCUGGAAUCAGUGCAUCAAUGGGAUGGUGGCAGCCUGUACCAAGCAGAGGUCUGCCACAGCAUCUGCAGAAAGAUGAGAGAGAUGCCAUGCAGAAAAACAAACCCCACCGAAGUUCUGGAGGGGUAGGAAUCAUGAGACUCACGGGAUUAUCUCAGAAGACGUCAGUAGCUGGAGUGAUCUAUUGUCUGGAACAGCAGUGCUCAUCUCUUCACAAUUUCAUGAAGUCAAAAAGGAGUCUAUGGUGGAUCACCGUCAUCCUCACUGAGCUGAAGAGAGUGGCCUGGUUCCUUCAUGUUGCUUACAUCUCUCAUUCCUCUUCUAGUAUGUGAGGCCUUGUGAUUGAACUACAGGCUUGGGAGUCUGACAGUUUGCGUUGCACUCCCAAUUCUGCCACAAAUUUGUCAUGGCAGAAUGUAUGGCUUAGCUUAGAGAGGUUUUUUGCUCAUAAAUAUAUGAACAUUAUGAUGUGUGCAAUUGCAUACCUAAUUUAUGCACACAGACAUAACAGUGACCAUACACGUAAAUGAGAUAUUUGCAGAUGCAAAUAGCUGGUUAUGAAUAUAAUAGGCCAACAGAAACAUACAGUUGUGGUAAUUAUACCCACAAACUAUAUGAAUGCAUGAACAAGCACGUUAUGAAAAUCAGAGUGCUGGCUACGCUGUUCAUUUUUACCAUUUUUAAGAGAAGAAAAAUAAUAUUAAUAUUCCUAUAUAUUAUGAAGCUUGGCUUAUGAACAUUUGUAAUGAGCUUUAAGGCUAUUAAAUGGGAGGUGCUAGCAAUCUGCAAUGUUUUAUUUGUGUGUGGAAGGCUGAUUUACUUCACAAAUUGCUGCCUUUGAAUAAUCUUGAAAAUUUACAAAUUUUUGCAUGAUUCACACUUGUGGAACUUGGUAUCACAGGGCAGGUGAACCUGUGUGUAUGUGGGCUGCUCUUCCCCAGUCCCAAAAAGGAAGUGUGAAGAUAAGAUGAAGUUACUCCUUCAGUGCUUCUAAAACCUUCACCUAGCCGUGCUGUACUGUAGCGGGCAGGAUGCAACUGGAUUGGGAGGACAUUUGUUUGUUUUGUAGCUUCGCUAUGAUCCCUCAGGCGCUUCAUGUACAGCCUAGCCUGCAUGAUAAAGUAGCAACAGGGGAGAAAGUGAAGACAAACACAGGAUGUCAGAAAGAACUCUUUAAAGUAGAUGUUCAGAUGGCUGAAAAAUUGAACAUCCUGUUUGGGGUUUGUCUUUCAGGGAAGAGUUGAAAACAGGGAAGUGUUGAAAACACCCUGCCCAAGAAACAACAAAGCAGUGCCAAAUACUAAUUCUAGCUAACUGCACAUGGGAGAUCUGGGUACGUAAAGAGGGUGUUUUCUAAACAAAAAUGAUUUGUGAAGAAGUACUUCCAGAAGUACUUCCAUUCCUUCUGUCAGAUAGUCUGGGUAUUGCUUUGAGGGAAUGCAUAUUACUAGAGAGAAUGGUUUAGAAUCACUUAUAGCUCAGCCAUUUCCAGGUGGCUCGCUCCUUUCAAUGGUUGCAAUAGAGAGCUAGUUAUGUUUUUAUCAAAAGUACGUUCAGCGAUAUCAAAUUAUGAGCAAAUAUGAAAGCAAUUAUCCAGAAGAAAAUAACGUAGCUGAAAUAAAAGUAUUUGCUUAAUACCA
This 1892-nucleotide long non-coding RNA is filed under the name Anser cygnoides (Swan goose). RNAcentral's name for it is "lncRNA (ENSACDG00005001549.1)". Lineage: Eukaryota; Metazoa; Chordata; Aves; Anseriformes; Anatidae. The record is from RNAcentral.